GCCUCCUUCGUCUAGUGGUUAGGACACAAGAUUCUCAAUCUUGUAACACGGGUUCGAGCCCCGUAGGAGGUA
Molecule: transfer RNA, 72 nt
Filed under: Spirochaetales bacterium
Lineage: Bacteria; Pseudomonadati; Spirochaetota; Spirochaetia; Spirochaetales
Description: tRNA-Glu
Rfam family: tRNA
About the family: Transfer RNA (tRNA) molecules are approximately 80 nucleotides in length. Their secondary structure includes four short double-helical elements and three loops (D, anti-codon, and T loops).
Source: RNAcentral